UAGGGAAUCUUCCGCAAUGGGCGAAAGCCUGACGGAGCAACGCCGCGUGAGUGAUGAAGGUCUUCGGAUCGUAAAACUCUGUUAUUAGGGAAGAACAAAUGUGUAAGUAACUAUGCACGUCUUGACGGUACCUAAUCAGAAAGCCACGGCUAACUACGUGCCAGCAGCCGCGGUAAUACGUAGGUGGCAAGCGUUAUCCGGAAUUAUUGGGCGUAAAGCGCGCGUAGGCGGUUUUUUAAGUCUGAUGUGAAAGCCCACGGCUCAACCGUGGAGGGUCAUUGGAAACUGGAAAACUUGAGUGCCGAAGAGGAAAGUGGAAUUCCCUGUGUAGCGGUGAAAUGCGCAGAGAUAUGGAGGAACACCAGUGGCGAAGGCGACUUUCUGGUCUGUAACUGACGCUGAUGUGCGAAAGCGUGGGGAUCAAACAGG
RNAcentral lists this ribosomal RNA (429 nucleotides) under Actinomycetes bacterium. RNAcentral's name for it is "Actinobacteria bacterium partial 16S ribosomal RNA". It matches the Rfam family "Bacterial small subunit ribosomal RNA", at positions 355 to 776 of the family's 1533-position model. The record is from RNAcentral. Lineage: Bacteria; Bacillati; Actinomycetota; Actinomycetes.